Helianthus annuus (common sunflower) is the source of this 6027-nucleotide long non-coding RNA. RefSeq lists it as uncharacterized. NCBI's taxonomy places the organism in Eukaryota, Viridiplantae, Streptophyta, Magnoliopsida, Asterales, Asteraceae. The transcript has 5 exons. The record is from RefSeq and is a predicted model, not a curated record.
AAAAUAAAAUAAAUAAUAUAUAAUAAUAGUGACUACAUCAAACCAACGUAAAUGACAUAAUAACAAUUCUCUGAUUCCAUUGUUGCGGCCCAACCCCUAGUCCACUUACCCCCUUCUUUUAUUUUUCUUGUCAUCGGCCCACUUGCACUCCUUUUGAUUUAAUAGGUUACGUAGUGUAGGAAUUUUAUAAACCGCUAACCCUACCUGCGAAUUUUAUUUUCCUUCUCUGCCUCUCUAUCAUCGACGCAAGUAAGGAGGGCCUAGGACUCCAAGCAACUCUCGGCUACAAGACUAUAAUCUGACCCCUUCAAUCUCUAGGACGCGAGUGACCCGUUCCACUCCGCACCUACUUUCCGUCUUUUAACCGAGCAAACUAAGGUCGUUAGAUUUGUGAUAUGGACUUGCUAUCUGGGAGUGCUGGAGUGGUCAUGGGUCGAGACUCUUGGAUAUAUGCUCGUUGAUUAUGAAAACUUGUUUUAGAACAAUUGAUUUACAAUUUACUUUAUGCUUCCGCUGAACAAACUACAUGGGUUUAACUUAUGUUUUGGAUUUAUGUUUUGAAAAUAAUGGAAUGUUUUAUUGAAGUAUUAUGCGUAGUUCAAUGUGAUUGGUGGCUUGGAUCCUGGUACGGCACACGUCCCGCGAUGUUUCCGCAUGUGGUGUUUUGGGGGUGUGACAGUUUGGUAUCAGAGCCACUGGUUAUAGUGAACUAGGUUUUAAAACGUUUUCAUAAAACCAGACUAUAACCGAACAGUUCCGAAAUCGACCAUGACACUCAGCUCCAGAUUGCAAGGUUCGUCUUUUAUUUACUGAAUACAUUGCAUGUCUAGCAUACACUUAUGUAAAGCAUUGCAUAUAAUUACAUACUCAGCACUACAGUACGAUUACAUGAAUUACUUAUUUACAUUAUGAUGCAUCGUUAGUAUGUCAUAGUCUUUAGAUUUCUGUGAUCUUUGCCAUUUUGACAACCUCCGUUUGACACUCGAAUUUGGGAACCUUUUAACACAAGUUAAGAGGCACUGAGAUGAACAUGCAAAUCAUAUUAUCAUCAUGGGUGCACACGUAAUAAUAAUUUGGGGUGCAUGUGAGUCCUAGUGAGGCUUAGCAAGUGUAAGAGGAUUCUGACCCAGUAUCCGACAUAAUUGGGGAUUCAACAAUCUAUAGGAGUCAUACCGAUGAUAGACUCCUACUCGACCUUGAUCUUCCUUUCUUUCCUGAAUCAUUAUGACCCUAGAUGAUUUUGAGGUAGUUAUCGAAGCGUCGAAUGUUUGGUCUAUACUCUACCCACUUUUCUUGUUUACUUGAACUCAACGAAUUGGCGCCUCAGAUCAAGAGUAUGGUCACCUCUGCAAAUCUAGAACAAUUUACCGUGAAUUAUUCGUUUGGCUCACAAGACCGAUGAACAAGAAGUUGAACGUGGUACAUUACCGAACAUAGUAUCAUGAUGACUCCGAUUACCGACAACGAACGCAAGUAGAGUGACUUCAACCAAGUCUCUAACUCUAGUCAGCAAUAGAAAAGGACUGACAACAACAACAACUGCAAUACAAAUCAAAAUCGAGGCAUAAAUGCUGGCAAACAACCGGAGUAUAAGACGUGUAACUACUAUCACCAAGGGCAGUGCCCUAGGACGUGUCAAAGGUGUGAGAAGGUGGGUCAUUUGGCGAAAGGACGCAGAGUUCUACUCCGAAGCAACAACAUCAGAGGCAACAGCCACAUCAGUGGUAAGAUACUCGUAAGGGCUGCUUUCAGUACGGAAGUGAGGAUCACUUCGGUAAGGAUUGGCUGCAAUUAGAUCAAAAUGCCAACAACAGGAACAACAACAACGCUGGAAAUCCUUGUAACAGUAACCACGACAGUAGAAAUGGUGCUCGUGGAAGAGCAUUCACGAUCGGCGUAGGUGACGCCAGCAAUGAUAGCAACGUAGUGACCUGUACGUUUCUGUGAACAAUUUCUUCGCUUUUUUCGGUUCGACCACAACACCUCUCGAAACCAAGCAUAUCGUAGAAUUGGCUUAUGGUAAGCCAGCUGAAGCGUCUCAUGUUCACGUAGGGUGCGAACUCGACCUUCUAGGUCAACUGUUUGACAUUGACCUUCUCCCCAUCAUUCUUGGUAGCAUUAACGUAGUCAUCGGUAUGGAUUGGUUGUCCAAACACCAAGCGGGAAUUCUCUGUAAAGAGAAAAUCGUCGUAUACCUCUCCUUAGUGGAGAAUCACUGUCAGUUUAAGGCCAUCAAAGUGGUGCUACGGUUGGCAUCAUUUCGGCUAUGAAAGCCCAGAAGUGCUUACGAAAGGGCUAUCCUGCUAUUCUAGCGCUUGUAAUCGAUACUCAGCCUGAGUAAAAGAAGAUUGAAGAUCUACCAGUUAUUUAUGACUUUUCCGACGUGUCUCCCGAAGAACCUACAGGACUACCUCCACACCGUCAGGUGGAAUUUCAGAUUGAACUCACACCAGGAGCAGCUCCGAUUGCUCGCGCCCCUUAUCGUCUUGCACCGGGAGAGUUGCAAGAGCUAUCGAAUCAACUCCAAGAACUGCUGGAUAGAGGUUUUAUCCAGCCUAGUUCUUCGCCAUGGGGAGCCCCAGUCCUAUUUGUGAAGAAGAAAGACGGGUGUUUUCAUACGUGUAUCGACUAUUGUAAACUAAGCAAGGUGACAGUCGGAAACCGUCACCCUUUACCUCGUAUCGACGACCUGCUUGACCAGCCGCAAGGGUCAAGCUUCUAUUCGGAAAUCGACUUCAGAUCGGGUUAUCAUCUGAUGGAAGACCGAGAGGAGGAUGUUCCUAAAACGGCAUUUCGAACGCGGUACAGCCAUUGCAAUUUUCUGUUCAUGUCACUCAAGUCACCCAACACACCAACGGUUUUAUGGAUCACAUGAAUCGUAUGUGUAAAACCCAUCUCGCCGAAUUCGUCAACCGUGUUUAUUGAUGACGUUUUGAAUCAUUUCCAGGAGAAAGGAACACCAUGUGCGGCACUUGUAUCUUAUCUUAGAGCUCCUGAGGGAGGAGCAACUCCACGCGAAGUCUUUCUAAGUGUGACUUCUGGAUUCGAGAAGUACACUUUCUUGGUCAUAUAGUCAACGAAUUGAGAAUACACGUGGAUCCCGCUAAGAUCCAUUCUAUUGGAAAUUGAUCGGCACCAAAGAAUCCGUCGGAGGUGCGACAAUUUUUUGGUCUCGCUAAGUACCAUCGCAGAUUCAUCAAGGGAUUAUCGAAGAUCGCACAACUUUAUCGCUUUAACACAACAGGGUGCUGUAUAUUCGUGGAGGGCAAAACAAGAGGACGUCUUUUCAGCUUUGAAACCAAACUCUACAAUGUACUGAAUAUUGUCCUUACCCGAUGGUAGAGGUGAUCUGGUAGUGUACCAUGUUGUUUCGAUUCAGGGUCUCGGUUGCGUGGGGGUGCAACGCGAGAAGUGAUAGUUUACGUUUCUCAGCAGUUGUAGAUUUACAAGAAGAAUUGCACGACUCACAACCUGGGAUGGAAGCCAUGGCCUUUGGAUUUAUAAUAUCUGGGGGUGUUACUUGUACGGUACCAAAUGCACUAUUCAGACCGAUCACAAGGGCCUCCAGCAUUAUUUUGUUCCGAAACAGCUAAACAUGCGACGGCGUCGCUGGAUGGAACUCUUGAGCGAUUACGACUAUGAAACCUAAACGUGUACGAGCUUUGCAGCUCCAUAUCGACUCUAACCUAACUGAUCAGAUUCGUUCUGCCCAAACCGAAACGUUGAAGGACAAGAACCUCCCAGCUGAACCCAUGUGGGGCAUGGAAAAACAACUUGUAGCUAAAAUCAGGCGGUAUUCGCUACUACAUGGAGCGAAUAUGGGUCUCACUAUACGGCCACCUUAGGGAACUUGUGUAGGACGAAGCACAAAAGUCUCGAUAUCCUAUUCAUCUGGGCUUUGAUAGGUUGUAUUAGGAUCUGAAUACCUUGUACGGGUGACCGAGCAUGAAAGCCCACAUAGCGACACAUGUGAGCAAGUGCUUGACUUGUGCGAAAGUCAAGGUAGAGUACAAAAAACCGUCUGGUUUGCUUCAACAGCCAGAAAUACCCAUGUGGAAAUGGGAACAAAUUGCCAUGGAUUUCGUUACUGGCCUACCUAGGACUCAAAACGGAAAUGAUACCAUUUGGGUGAUCGUUGACCGUCUCACGAAGUCUGCACACUUCCUAGCGAUCAAGGAAACUGAUAAGUUUUCACAGCUUGCCGGAAUUUACUUGAAAGAGGUGGUUUCUAGACAUAGGGUGCCGACCUCUAUCAUAUCUGAUCGCGAUCCACGCUUUAUAUCCGAUUUGUGGCAGACGAUGCACAAAUCUUUCGGCUCACGUCUAGACAUGAGCACUGCUUAUCACCCUCAGACGGAUGGUCAAAGCGAGUGAACCAUCCAAACACUUGAAGACAUGCUGCGAGCAUGUGUAAUCGAUUUUGGCAAGGGUUGGGAAAGACACCUAGCCUUGGUAGAGUUUUCUUACAAAAACAAUUACUAUUCCAGUAUUCAGGCAGCUCCGUUCGAGGCAUUGUAGGGACGGAAAUGCUGAUCUCCUCUCUAUUGGGCUGAGGUGGGUGACAGCCAAAUCACAGGUCCAGAACUCGUACCCGAAACUUCAGAGAAGAUUGUCUAGAUCAGAAAUCGUAUGUCGGUAGUGCGUGAUCACUAGAAAAGCUACGCUGAUAAGCGUAGGAAACCCUUGAGUUGCCUGCUGAACUCGGUAAUGUUCAAGACGUUUUUCACAUUUCUAACUUGAGUGUCAUGAAAAACUUGUGGUACCUUUGCAAGAGCUAAAGAUAGAUGACAAGUUACAAUUCGUUGAGGGACUUAUCGAAAUCAUGGAUCGGGAAGUUAAGGUCCGUAAACACAGUCGAAUCCUAAUCGUGAGAGUUCGUUGGAACUCAAGACGUGGACCGGAGUUCAUGUGGGAACGCGAGGGUCAGAGGAAGUUCAAGUAUCCUCACUUAUUCAAAACUGUUGAAACUAACACUGAUGCAACUGAUGAAUUUCGGGACGAAAUUCCCUUUCAAGUUGGGGAUGAUGUGGCACCCGAGGAAAAUCCACAGUCAUCUUGACCUACCACUUUAUUUAUCUGAUUGUCAAAUUUCGGGACGAAAUUUCUUUCAACUUGGGGAUGAUGUGACAACCCGUAACUUCGGGGUAAAAACCGUUCAUUUCGCUUUUACAAAAAUAAUAUGCUUAUCUUAUUCUACGAAUUAAAUUUGUACUUAUAUAAUUUUUAGUGUGCAAACGUGUAGUCGAAACCAAAUCCAUAUUGUGUUGAACUGACCCGAACCGUUUGAACCAAGGUUCAAGUCUCUCUUGUCGAUCUUAUCCAAUCGUGUACCUCGAAUUUAUAAGGCCCGAACCAUAGCAUGAAUAGUAUACAUGUAUAUUAGUUGACUAAUUGUAUAUUGAUAUUUAUAACAGUUAAUUCCAUUUAUAAAAAGGUAAAAUAAAAUAAAUAAUAUAUAAUAAUAGUGACUACAUCAAACCAACGUAAAUGACAUAAUAACAAUUCUCUGAUUCCAUUGUUGCGGCCCAACCCCUAGUCCACUUACCCCCUUCUUUUAUUUUUCUUGUCAUCGGCCCACUUGCACUCCUUUUGAUUUAAUAGGUUACGUAGUGUAGGAAUUUUAUAAACCGCUAACCCUACCUGCGAAUUUUAUUUUCCUUCUCUGCCUCUCUAUCAUCGACGCAAGUAAGGAGGGCCUAGGACUCUAAGCAACUCUCGGCUACAAGACUAUAAUCUGACCCCUUCAAUCUCUAGGACGCGAGUGACCCGUUCCACUCCGCACCUACUUUCCGUCUUUUAACCGAGCAAACUAAGGUCGUUAGAUUUGUGAUAUGGACUUGCUAUCUGGGAGUGCUGGAGUGGUCAUGGGUCGAGACUCUUGGAUAUAUGCUCGUUGAUUAUGAAAACUUGUUUUAGAACAAUUGAUUUACAAUUUACUUUAUGCUUCCGCUGAACAAACUACAUGGGUUUAACUUAUGUUUUGGAUUUAUGUUUUGAAAAUAAUGGAAUGUUUUAUUGAAGUAUAAU